RNAcentral lists this ribosomal RNA (492 nucleotides) under uncultured bacterium. RNAcentral describes it as "partial 16S ribosomal RNA". It matches the Rfam family "Bacterial small subunit ribosomal RNA", at positions 29 to 507 of the family's 1533-position model. The record is from RNAcentral.
AGUGAACGCUGGCGGUAGGCCUAACACAUGCAAGUCGAACGGCAGCACAGUAAGAGCUUGCUCUUACGGGUGGCGAGUGGCGGACGGGUGAGGAAUACAUCGGAAUCUACUUUUUCGUGGGGGAUAACGUAGAGAUACUUACGCUAAUACCGCAUACGACCUACGGGUGAAAGCAGGGGAUCUUCGGACCUUGCGCGAUUGAAUGAGCCGAUGUCGGAUUAGCUAGUUGGCGGGGUAAAGGCCCACCAAGGCGACGAUCCGUAGCUGGUCUGAGAGGAUGAUCAGCCACACUGGAACUGAGACACGGUCCAGACUCCUACGGGAGGCAGCAGUGGGGAAUAUUGGACAAUGGGCGCAAGCCUGAUCCAGCCAUACCGCGUGGGUGAAGAAGGCCUUCGGGUUGUAAAGCCCUUUUGUUGGGAAAGAAAAGCAGCAGGUUAAUACCCCGCUGUUCUGACGGUACCCAAAGAAUAAGCACCGGCUAACUUCGUG